UGCCGCGUGCAGGAUGAAGGCCUUCGGGUUGUAAACUGCUUUUGUACGGAACGAAACGGUGAGCUCUAAUACGGUUUGCUAAUGACGGUACCGUAAGAAUAAGCACCGGCUAACUACGUGCCACCAGCCGCGGUAAUACAUACGGUGCGAGCGUUAAUCGGAAUUACUGGGCGUAAAGCGUGCGCAGGCGGUGAUGUAAGACAGAUGUGAAAUCCCCGGGCUCAACCUGGGACCUGCAUUUGUGACUGCAUCGCUUGAGUACGGUAGAGGGGGAUGGAAUUCCGCGUGUAGCAAUGAAAUGCGUAGAUAUGCGGAGGAACACCGAUGGCGAAGGCAAUCCCCUGGACCUGUACUGACGCUCAUGCACCAAGGCGUGGGGAGCAAACAAGAUUACAUGCCCUGGUACUCCACGCCCUAAACAAUCUCAACUGGUUGUUGGGUCUUCACUGACUCACUAACGAAACUAACGCGUGAACUUGACCGCCCGGUGAGUACAGCCGCACGGUUGAAACUCGAAGGAAUUGACCGGGACCCGCACAACCGGUGGAUGAUGUGGUUUAAUUCCAUGCAACCCUAACAACCUUACCCACCUUUGACAUGUACGGAAGUCCCUAUAUAU
This 619-nucleotide ribosomal RNA is filed under the name Comamonadaceae bacterium Se2Ps_2295. RNAcentral describes it as "bacterial SSU rRNA". It matches the Rfam family "Bacterial small subunit ribosomal RNA", at positions 395 to 1007 of the family's 1533-position model. The record is from RNAcentral. Lineage: Bacteria; Pseudomonadati; Pseudomonadota; Betaproteobacteria; Burkholderiales; Comamonadaceae.